UGCUGGUUAAAUGUUAGGACCCUGGCUGC
Molecule: non-coding RNA, 29 nt
Filed under: Mus musculus (house mouse)
Lineage: Eukaryota; Metazoa; Chordata; Mammalia; Rodentia; Muridae
Source: RNAcentral